CGGCGGACGGGUGAGUAAUGCUUAGGAAUCUGCCUAUUAGUGGGGGACAACAUUCCGAAAGGAAUGCUAAUACCGCAUACGUCCUACGGGAGAAAGCAGGGGAUCUUCGGACCUUGCGCUAAUAGAUGAGCCUAAGUCGGAUUAGCUAGUUGGUGGGGUAAAGGCCUACCAAGGCGACGAUCUGUAGCGGGUCUGAGAGGAUGAUCCGCCACACUGGGACUGAGACACGGCCCAGACUCCUACGGGAGGCAGCAGUGGGGAAUAUUGGACAAUGGGGGGAACCCUGAUCCAGCCAUGCCGCGUGUGUGAAGAAGGCCUUAUGGUUGUAAAGCACUUUAAGCGAGGAGGAGGCUACUGAGACUAAUACUCUUGGAUAGUGGACGUUACUCGCAGAAUAAGCACCGGCUAACUCUGUGCCAGCAGCCGCGGUAAUACAGAGGGUGCGAGCGUUAAUCGGAUUUACUGGGCGUAAAGCGUGCGUAGGCGGCUUUUUAAGUCGGAUGUGAAAUCCCCGAGCUUAACUUGGGAAUUGCAUUCGAUACUGGGAAGCUAGAGUAUGGGAGAGGAUGGUAGAAUUCCAGGUGUAGCGGUGAAAUGCGUAGAGAUCUGGAGGAAUACCGAUGGCGAAGGCAGCCAUCUGGCCUAAUACUGACGCUGAGGUACGAAAGCAUGGGGAGCAAACAGGAUUAGAUACCCUGGUAGUCCAUGCUGUAAACGAUGU
RNAcentral lists this ribosomal RNA (721 nucleotides) under Acinetobacter junii. RNAcentral describes it as "bacterial SSU rRNA". It matches the Rfam family "Bacterial small subunit ribosomal RNA", at positions 96 to 812 of the family's 1533-position model. The record is from RNAcentral. Lineage: Bacteria; Pseudomonadati; Pseudomonadota; Gammaproteobacteria; Moraxellales; Moraxellaceae.